RNAcentral lists this long non-coding RNA (302 nucleotides) under Elaeis guineensis (African oil palm). Its description in RNAcentral is "long non-coding RNA (EGUI_LNC040149)". Lineage: Eukaryota; Viridiplantae; Streptophyta; Magnoliopsida; Arecales; Arecaceae. The record is from RNAcentral.
AUUGGAGAUCUACUUACACCGUGUAGGUUUUACCUCUUCGAGUGGAUCAACAAAUGUCCGUACAUCGUUGACCAUUAUGGACUCCAUUUUGAACUUUAUGGCUUCAAGCCACUAAUCGAAGUCAGACCUUUGCAUGACAUCCAUAUAGGUGAUCAAAUUCUUGUUAUUCUUAUUGAGUUCAAUAGGAUCACGUCUCAGACCUAGAUACCAAAGUGUCUAUCCAACGGAUGUGGUACUUUGUCGGAUCUCUUUAAUGAUGCCUUUACAAUAGAUUUCAGAUUUGAUCUAAUCAAAUCUGAUUC